GAUGAACGCUGGCGGCGUGCCUAAUACAUGCAAGUCGAGCGAACAGACGAGGAGCUUGCUCCUCUGACGUUAGCGGCGGACGGGUGAGUAACACGUGGAUAACCUACCUAUAAGACUGGGAUAACUUCGGGAAACCGGAGCUAAUACCGGAUAAUAUAUUGAACCGCAUGGUUCAAUAGUGAAAGACGGUUUUGCUGUCACUUAUAGAUUGAUCCGCGCCGCAUUAGCUAGUUGGUAAGGUAACGGCUUACCAAGGCAACGAUGCGUAGCCGACCUGAGAGGGUGAUCGGCCACACAGGAACUGAGACACGGUCCAGAAUCCUACGGGAGGCAGCAGUAGGGAAUCUUCCGCAAUGGGCGAAAGCCUGACGGAGCAAAGCCGCGUGAGUGAUGAAGGUCUUCGGAUCGUAAAACUCUGUUAUUAGGGAAGAACAAAUGUGUAAGUAACUAUGCACGUCUUGACGGUACCUAAUCAGAAAGCCACGGCUAACUACGUG
RNAcentral lists this ribosomal RNA (497 nucleotides) under uncultured bacterium. RNAcentral describes it as "partial 16S ribosomal RNA". It matches the Rfam family "Bacterial small subunit ribosomal RNA", at positions 28 to 507 of the family's 1533-position model. The record is from RNAcentral.